GUGUGGACUUGCGAUCCGUUUGCUGCUCCGCGCCUACUCUUCUCUUCGUCGCAAGAUAUUCUAUACAUAGUUUCCUCCAAAACGGAUCUGAAGCUGCGGUUUUUAACUAUUUCUUUAGGCAUAAAUAAGAUCUGAUUAUGACGACGCCAAAGAUGAUGUGGUUAAAAAAGGAAAGCAUCACUGAUAUUUCUCAAUAAGUUCCUGAUGAAGUGCUCAGUUGGAAUGCGUCACCCGCAACUGGAGACUCCUCUGAUGACUGACUGCUCUCGCACAACCUUUCAGCAAGGCAACGUCGCCGCGCGCAAUCCAGCAGAGCCCACGCAGUGUGAAACCGGCUGCAAGUUUCACGUCGGCCGACGUAUUUUUUAAAUUUCCUCAUGCUCCUCUUGCCGGAUACUCACCAGGCCCACUCAGUUUUAGAAUGAGUAUAAUUCUGACCACAACGAUGCAAAUUAAAACUAACAAAAUUCCGAAUAAAGUUUUGAUUAUUAAAUCAAGAUAAUUUUUAAUAACUUUAGUGGAUGCGGACUCCUUUUUCACUUUUGUUUCAGGGUAUUGUUAGUAAUGAUUGUUAGGCAUUCUUUGUUAAAAAAAUUCGUGGCAACAGAGAGAAAUUUUGAAUGAUAAUAAAUCAGAUUUCGCCGGAACCGCGAUCAGCAAUCAAGUCGCAUUAUACCAAGUGUUCCGAGUGAAGGACCCGGCUCAAUCGGGUAAAUUCUUUUCUUAUUUCAAGUUGUUGUUAAGUCAUCUCUCGUCUUAUUAUAUUAUUAAUUCAGUUUAAGUUUAAAAUUGAUAAUUGUUAUACUAUGUCAGUAAAUCGUAUUCUUAAUUCGAUUAUGAAUUUUCUUUAUUUAAGGUUUUAUAAGUCACAAUCAACUGAUUAAAGAAGAAUUGCUCAAGA
This is a long non-coding RNA of Cloeon dipterum, 901 nucleotides long. RefSeq lists it as uncharacterized. The record is from RefSeq and is a predicted model, not a curated record. NCBI's taxonomy places the organism in Eukaryota, Metazoa, Arthropoda, Insecta, Ephemeroptera, Baetidae. The transcript is spliced from 3 exons.